Molecule: ribosomal RNA, 434 nt
Filed under: uncultured Lachnospiraceae bacterium
Lineage: Bacteria; Bacillati; Bacillota; Clostridia; Lachnospirales; Lachnospiraceae
Description: partial 16S ribosomal RNA
Rfam family: Bacterial small subunit ribosomal RNA
Source: RNAcentral
ACGGAAGGCAGCAGUGGGGGAUAUUGCACAAUGGGGGAAACCCUGAUGCAGCGACGCCGCGUGAGUGAAGAAGUAUUUCGGUAUGUAAAGCUCUAUCAGCAGGAAAGAUAAUGACGGUACCUGACUAAGAAGCACCGGCUAAAUACGUGCCAGCAGCCGCGGUAAUACGUAUGGUGCAAGCGUUAUCCGGAUUUACUGGGUGUAAAGGGAGCGCAGACGGCAUGGCAAGCCAGAUGUGAAAGGCAGGGGCUCAACUCCUGGACUGCAUUUGGAACUGUCAAGCUAGAGUAUAGGAGAGGUAAGUGGAAUUCCUAGUGUAGCGGUGAAAUGCGUAGAUAUUAGGAGGAACACCAGUGGCGAAGGCGGCUUACUGGACGAUAACUGACGUUGAGGCUCGAAAGCGUGGGGAGCAAACAGGAUUAGAUACCCUGGUA